CUUGGCGACCAUAGCGUUUUGGACCCACCUGAAUCCAUUCCGAACUCAGAAGUGAAACGAAAUAGCGUCGAUGGUAGUGUGGGGCUUCCCCAUGUGAGAGUAGAACAUCGCCAGGC
RNAcentral lists this ribosomal RNA (116 nucleotides) under Vibrio vulnificus. The record is from RNAcentral. Lineage: Bacteria; Pseudomonadati; Pseudomonadota; Gammaproteobacteria; Vibrionales; Vibrionaceae.